UUUCCGUAGGUGAACCUGCGGAAGGAUCAUUACCAAAUGAUAAUCUUUCAAAUCGAAAGAUCUUUUCCUUUGUGCUGGCUUUGACCGUAUGUAAUUUUGGGACUUAAACAUGGCAACUUUUUUGUUACCGGUCCCAAAAACAAUUAUAUCAUCCUUAUGAAAAACUUACUGAACAACUAAACAAUGAUUUUAAUAAUCUGUUUAAAACAACUUUCAACAACGGAUCUCUUGGUUCUCGCAUCGAUGAAGUACGCAGC
RNAcentral lists this unclassified non-coding RNA (257 nucleotides) under plant metagenome. Its description in RNAcentral is "partial contains small subunit ribosomal RNA, internal transcribed spacer 1, and 5.8S ribosomal RNA". The stretch from base 209 to 257 matches the Rfam family "5.8S ribosomal RNA", at positions 1 to 49 of the family's 154-position model. The record is from RNAcentral.